AACGAACGCUGGCGGCGUGCCUAAUACAUGCAAGUCGAACGAGAAUAUGGGGCAACCCAUUAGUAAAGUGGCAGACGGGUGAGUAAUACAUAGGUAACCUACCUCAAUGUUGGGGAUAACCUUCCGAAAGGAGGGCUAAUACCGAAUAAGACCACAGGAACUACGGUUCCAGGGGUUAAAGGCGGCUUCGGCUGUCGCAAUGAGAUGGGCUUAUGCAGCAUCAGCUAGUUGGUAAGGUAAUGGCUUACCAAGGCUUUGACGCUUAACUGAUCUGAGAGGUUGAUCAGUCACACUGGAACUGAGACACGGUCCAGACUCCUACGGGAGGCAGCAGUAGGGAAUAUUGCGCAAUGGAGGAAACUCUGACGCAGCGACGCCGCGUGGGUGAUGAAGGUUUUCGGAUCGUAAAGCCCUGUCGGAGGGGAAGAACACGGUAGUGUUAACACCACUACCGCUUGACGGUACCCUCAAAGGAAGCACCGGCUAACUACGUGCCAGCAGCCGCGGUAAAG
This 512-nucleotide ribosomal RNA is filed under the name uncultured bacterium. Its description in RNAcentral is "bacterial SSU rRNA". It matches the Rfam family "Bacterial small subunit ribosomal RNA", at positions 29 to 525 of the family's 1533-position model. The record is from RNAcentral.